UAAGGCAAUAUAUAGGCUAUAGUGCAAAAUAAUUACAAUUAGAAUUAACAGGAGAGUGUGUGUGUGUGUAAGAUUGAACAAUGGAAGCAUGGCCCUGAUCGCAGCAGGAAACACUUCCAGGUCAGAGUUCAUCAAACACCUGAAGAGAUACAACAAGUGUAAACAAUCAGGGUACAUCCCCAACUCCUGACACUGUUUGGAGUGGACAUCGAGGAGGCAGAGGAGGCACACAUCAAGUGCAGCUGCAUUUAACACUGUCUGUAGACACGAAGUGAUACCAUUUAAAACUGACACAUUAAAUAGAAAAAGUUCAUUUAUAUAAAAGCAAAGACAACAUAAUAACACAUUCCAGUGCACAAUUACAUACAUUAUCAGACCAAAGCAAAAUGUGUUGACAAACAAAAUGUUGUCUGUCCAUUUUUACACACCACACACUUAUUUAUUAAAAUUAAAAUUUUAUUUUAUUGAAAAAAAAA
Long non-coding RNA from Coregonus clupeaformis (lake whitefish), 476 nucleotides. RefSeq lists it as uncharacterized. NCBI's taxonomy places the organism in Eukaryota, Metazoa, Chordata, Actinopteri, Salmoniformes, Salmonidae. The transcript has 2 exons. The record is from RefSeq and is a predicted model, not a curated record.